Molecule: long non-coding RNA, 9991 nt
Organism: Gasterosteus aculeatus aculeatus (three-spined stickleback)
Lineage: Eukaryota; Metazoa; Chordata; Actinopteri; Perciformes; Gasterosteidae
Source: Ensembl
UGCUUGUGAAAAAAAACUCCUUUUUCCAUCAUUUCUAUCAAAUACCUAACUGCCUCUGUGGAGAAGCUAAAGAAUGACAUUGCAGAUCGUAGACAAUGAAGGGCUUUCAGAUGACUCAUAGCAGUACUGCUUAUCCCCCUCCUCGGCUGUCUCCUCCUUUGGUUUCUACAUCAAUGCCCAACAGAACUAGCUAAUUUCUCAUCCUUUGUCAUUGCCCUCAUCAGUCUUUUCACCCGCCGCCCCCCCACUACUCCGGUCUUACCCUCGAGCCUCCCGCUCCUCGCUUUUCCUGCUCUGUCAAGCCGCCCCUCUCUCGUUUUACCAUCUGCUCCCACAGUCUGUCCACACAGGAUAAAUUAUUUCAAAAGGGUGCAGAGUGACUCAGCACUUGAGGUUAAUGCAUACCAAUAGUAAAUGGGCCAGAUGGCUGGUGGCUGGUCAGCGAGGGGGACACAAGGGCAAACGGCCUCGAAGAAAAACAGACGCUUGGCUCUAACCGCCGACAGUAGGGCCAGAUAGAAACCACAACGAGAUUUUAAAAAGAGAGCAGGAGUGAAUACAAUUACUAUGAAAUGAGACAUUUAUACAAUGCUUUAUGAACCGCUGUAUGACUAAUAAUGAGUUUUUUACGAGUUCCAUCUUCCAGUGAGAUCACUUACCUUCACUUACCUACCUGGCUGGUGUGAACCUCUAAGAAGGUCUCAAUUGUUUUCAUACAACCCAUCCCAUACACCAUCUGGUUAUGUUUACAUUCUGUCUUUUCCUUUAAGAAAGCUGCAUUCAAAUUUGGUGUGAAAUAAAAAAGUUGGACCAUGAUAACCAUGAUGAAUGUCAAGCGGGCUUCCUAUUCUUCUAUACUCUGUACCCCUUUGCUCGGACCACAUCCAUCUUCAGCCGUUGUUUCUACUCUCUCAACCACCCACAUGUAAAGUUUUGUGACUGCAUCUUGCAAAACUGUGACGCUGUUGCAAUUGAAAGAAUCUGUCCCCAGCAAAGUACACCCACGCCUCUGUGGCAUAUCCCACGAAAGUGGGUGUCUCGGUGAUCACAUUUCGCCAUGGUUACUCACAGAAAGAGGCACAAGGUGACAACGAUGCCAGCCACAGGCUGUCACGGCUGGUAAUCACAGAAUCUCUGCAGUAUCGCAGCUCCUGAGCUCGCAUCCCAUAUUAUGUUUGGCAGGCCUGCUUGUGCGUAACCCAGACAGGCAACUUGAGAUACACAGCAAAAUGGACAGACUCAAAUUAACACUAUUGGAGUUAAUUUCAACACUUUUAAAGUGUCCCAUGGGGUCCACACUACGCAGUGUCAAUGUAACACUUUUUAAAGUGUUGCCAUUUUAACACUGUUAUAGAGUUAAUUUUAACACUUAUAUAGUUGAAAUUUAACAAUACUCAAGCGUUAGUUUCUCAACACCAGUGGGUAGUGUUAGAAAUUAAUACUCAUCGGAGUCAUUAAUUAACUCUUAUAGUGUGAUGUGCAUACUAUAAAAGGAGUUGCCCCAUUAACACUAUAAAGUGUUAUUGCUGCCCCGCCCCCCCACACAAAAAAAAAAUCUUUAAAUGAAAUGUGAAUAAUUAGAAAUACGAAUGACAAGUUCACUACUUUAACAUUUUUAUUUCUUCAAAUGCAUCAACAUUACCAAAUCUUUUUUCAUUGCUGUACAUUUAUCUAAAUGUAACAAUAAGGCACUAUGUAUCUUUGACUAUUGUCAUUAGAGCAUUGCUUGUCAAAUGGUCUAAAAUAAGUCAGUGCCUUCACAGAUAUGACAGAAAACACAUUCAUUUGGUCUUCUAUACAGUAUGCACUAAAGUGGUCAUCAUAGUACAUUGUUUGUACAUUACAGGAUAUUAUGAAAGCGUGCUGUUCAUGUAUUAUAAUAUCACAGAUCUUUUUGAACACAGGAAGAUCAUCGGUACAUCCAGUGCAUAAGUACAACCCAACCUGGUACUCAGUACCGUAAUAUCUGACCCACCUUGUACUUGUAACAUUUGAACAGGCGUCCAAAUGUAAUGUCUAAAGCUGCCACUGAUGUGUGUACCUUGCACGGGAGUGGUUUUCGGUCGAUAAUAAGGUAGAACCUUUGGAUAUUCUUCUUUUGCUCACCGAUGCAAAGGAGGAACGGUUGUUUGCGUCGACACUCUCAAGGAAGGUAGGAAUACUGGCUCCUUCCUGUAGGUCAGUUAAGAGACAUAAAUUACUAUAACAUCUUGAUCACAUUUCUGCAGAUAUACAGAGCAAAACUGUCUCAGAAUUCCAACAUCUAUUAAGGGAUUCUUGGUGUAGGAACUUUUGCAUACCUUAAGAUAUCUAACAAGACGGCUGGUUGCUUGAGCUGAACUGAUCUUGGUAGUUUUUUUCUGGCCCCUUGAAGUUGGAGGGAGUAGAUGCAGCAGCAAAAGGAUUGAAGACAGAUCACUGUCCCAUCCUAAAGGCAUAAAAAAUGUAUUUAUUUAGUACAACACUGAAAUAUAUAUUUCAAGAAAACGUUUUAUACUGACCAUUGUUAUCUUCAGACUCAGAUUCAGUUGCUGACAGCAACUCAUCCAUAUUCUUUGCAGUCUUGCAGUCUGUGAUGUUUGGCUUGAAGAAAGUUGACCACUUGGACAGGAACUUCUGAGACACUUCGUCACCAAACAUCAUUGAGAAAUCCUGGUCGAUCUAUAAACAAGGAAAACAAUAUUUUAAUAUACAGGUUCAAGCAUACAUCACAAAAUGAAUGAAAGGUCAAAUACUGAAAUGGAAGAUUGAAAAGAAGAUUAAAGAGAUUAUAGUAUAGUGCCGAAAAAUAUUAUAUUGUCCUGCACUGGACUAUAUUACUGUUCUACACUGGACAACUACAACCAAAGCAAAAGAGUUUUCUUACCAAUCCAGGUACAUCAAGAAAACGAGGGAACACAUCCAGGAAUGAAGAUGAUGCAUCAUCCCCAACCAUCUUCUGUCGAUUCUCAACUUCUCUUUGACCACAGAUUCAUCGCUGGAAUGUCUUAUUGUAGAUAUCGCCUCCCUGCACUCCUCACCAAAUAGCUGUUGGCAGGUUGAUAGAGAUUCUCGCCUGGUUUUUGGACCAUCCUGAAGAACGGCAUCUCAUGCUUCAAUUUAAGAAUAAGUUACUCAACACAAAAAUUGUAGACAGUGAAUAGACUGCAAAACAUUUUAAAAAACAGGUUGAAAAUGCAAGGGUGAGCAACCUACAAAAACUCAUCUGAAACAAGAUGAGUACAAACUAGAAAAGUGAAGAAGAUAUUGAAAUCACACUGAUUUGGUUUUCAGAUAGAACUUACAUAUCCAAGUUUGGAGAAUGGAUCACGGAGGUAUGGAAAAAGAGUCACAAUUCCCAGUGCAUAAUUGGUCCUUACACUUGACGGUGGAACCCUCCUUUAAAAAUAAGUCAUAGUUUACUUUUAAGCAUGUAUGUUUUGUAAGAAUAAAUACACCCUUACCACUUAUACAGAACAGCAUCAUUUAGCUACAACACAUGACAUAACCAAGUGACCUGCAAUUCUUACCCAUGUAGCUCUAUCAUAUCUGCAACCAGGAUGUUCACCAUUUGUUUACUAGUGUUUAUUAGUGUUUUAGUCUUAUCAUACUCAUUGAAGACUUCUUCACCCUUUGGAUUGGCCCUCAGAACACCCUCAACCAUCUGCCAAGAAAUAUUACAUUGUUAUGGCAUGCUUACGGUAAAAAUUAGUUUUUUUUUUAAAGAAUUUAACUUUUCUAAUGACAUUACUUUAUACUGCGAAUACAUUUACAAAAAAUAAUUAAUUUUGGAUUUCAAAUGUAUUUAUUCAAAGCUCUACCUGUUUUGCUUCAUUCUGGUCCAUUAACCCUGUUGGGUUCUUUCUUUUUUUUCCUUUUUCUUGUGGACUCCAGAAUAACGGUGGAAUCAGAUGAAUGGGAUAAAGCUGGGGAUAGUGCAGUCUGUGCCACUACCAAGGAUGAAUGGGAUGAAGUUGGGGACAGCGAUGUCAAUACAGAGGAGGAUGCUUGAUCUGCAACCAGCUCAACAUCCAGAUCUACAAAAUGGCAGACAGAACAAAGACAAUUUAAAUGUACCUAUCAGUAACAAAACAAUCUCAAUCUUAAAUAAAGCAUUUAAAAAGUACUAAGCAUAUUAUAUUCUUCCUUAAUUACUACCCAGUGAUAGAUCAUAUGUAUUUAAGACAAUGAUUGUCAAGUGUUACGCCACACAUCGUAUUUCUCACGCUGAAAAAAAAGUCCGCGCUGGCUCCCCUCCAACCUUCCAGACGGUGUCUGUAACCGUAACCGCUGCACGUAGUGUCCACGCCCGGUCAGCCGUAGCGUUCAGCCCCCCAUUCUUCAAAACUUGAGCCCUGCGGCGUUGAGUAACUAUAAGCACAGUAAAACGUAUUUGAGAAAGGAGUCCUUCCGAUUAACUUUCCGAUAGUAACUUCAUAUUAACUACCGACACUUCUGAUAAUCAAAAUGUAAUUUAGAUAUACAUAUACCCAGUCCUCGUAUGAGAAUAUUUGCUUUCAUGCAGCUAAGACGUGGGAACCGGUUCUGGCUCUUAGCUAGCCAGCUAACUAGCAUUUAUUUAUUUGAAAGAAUGUUGGCAUUACUAAAGUACCGUCACGUAACUUAACGUUACAUUAACAAACUUGAAACACUCAACAGGAAUUCUAUUUUGCUCACAGUCAGACUCAAUAGACCAGUAAACAGAAAACGUGUGAAAGUAGAAGAAACAAACUCUUGCUAACGUUAGCUUGGCAAACUUAGCUUGCCAACGUUAGCUUGCCAGUUACCGUACAGUAGUUUGUCCGCUCUGGGCGUAGGUUACGGUUGCUAGCUAGCUGACAUUAGCCUGGCUGCAGUAAAGGCGGCAGCAUAACAGUUAACCUACAUUAGAGCGGCUAUAAAUAUAUUACUAAUGUCUAAAUAUAUGUCCAUCUGUAUAUAAUAAUAGCACUCAUUAGGUUAUCUAAUUAACUGUUACUUACCGACACAAUGCAACACGUUUUCUUCAAUUUUGAACAAACUGUCCUCGAAAACGUUGUGCUGCUCGUUGCUCCAGUUGAGUUGUGCAGGUAAAUUACUUGAAUCCCGCCAGAUUGUUGCUCUCACGAGAUUAUUGUUCGCGCGAUGCCAGAGAGUAGUCACUCCUUACACCCGAGCUGAGAGACUGACGACCCAUAGAGUUGGUUUCACAAUAACAGUAAUAACACUCCAUUUUGACACCAACUCUUUUGUGGUGCAGUGUGAAAUCAAACAGAUUUAACAACAUAGAGAUUUAGAUCAAUUCCAAAUAGAGUUCGAUUGACUCUAUCUUUAUCAACACCAGAAAUUUAACUCUGCUCAAUUUGCUGUGUAGGAGUGAAACACUAAGCCACUCCAAAACACACCAGAGACUGCUAAAGAAAAAAGUUGAAUAGAGGCAACACAACUAACUUAAAAUCUCACCUAAAACAACCAUCCCACCCAGUCUUUCAACCUGAACCACUGUCGGUUCCUCCAGACUGUGGGUCCGCCUCUUUGGCCGGGAGCACCAUGCGCACGGGGCGGGGUUUCCAGACCUCUGGCCUUCGUUCGUCCCGGGCUUGCAGAUUGGUAGCGGGACCAAGACGCCCCGGAUCUCCCAGCAGCCACAGAGCGCAUUAAUAUGCUAUUAUAUUGUCAUACUGUCACAAUGUAAUCAGCGGCAUAUCGUUUAUCACAAUGAAUUUUGGUGCAAUAAUCACAAAACAAAAAUGUGUUAUUGUGAGAGCCCUUUCUGUCGGACCCACUAUUUCAUCAGUGGUUUAAAACAUGUAACCCUGAGUUGUGAGUCCCGGCAAGCCAUUAGCCCUUCUCUGAAAAUUUUCCAAUUUAUGGAAAUUAAAAGCAGUGAGCGAGCGCAGCUCAAAAACUAAUCAAAAGUAUUUUCAUCUCGUUCUCCAAGACACUCCGUAUUCAACGGAAACCAAAUUCCACCACAAUAAGCCUUGAUUAGCUAUAUUGCCUCCCACACGUUUACUUUCUUCUUUAUUAGAUGUUGGGCAGUGAUUUUAUUAUCUCAUUUAUCACAAUUAGAGCUGCAGUGUCUGGUCAUGUGUUGACCAUAUUAUUAUCCCUAGAACUGUUAGCGCUGUUAGCACAGCUGCCAGCCAGCUGCAGGCUCAGCCGUGACCACGUUGGGAAGCAAUCAAAAUGAUUUUCUCUUUUCCUGUCAAUUUUUCACCUGGCUCAUUUGAAAAGAAAUCCUGUAAAAGGGGUCUGACAUUUACACGCCAUGGUUAUACCUCAUGAUAACAAAUCAAGGCUGAAGCUGCUGUUGUGUUCAAAAAUAAAGAAACGCCGGACGGACAAAAGGGCAUCGCAGAUCGAAAGGUUAAAAUCAAAUGUAUUUAAUAAAAGACAUGGUGUUGGGGUAAAAAGAACAUCUCAGCUGAGGAGCCACUGGUCUUUGCAACCAACAGGCCACAGGGCCCAUUGACCAUCCCUAGUGCCCGUCUGCUGCCUCCACCAGCGAACUCCAGAACAAUGGUUCCUACAGGUAUUUAUACCGAUCCGUAAAUGUGUGAAAGUUAGAGUCCACACCUCUGGGAGUGGUCUCCUGGUGAGUUCAAUGUAACUCGGAUUUCGAAUGACCCUCAGUCAAUAUCAGUUGUUGUGCAAGUAUUACAUGCAUGCAUUCCAGUUGAUUACAUUACAUCAAAUACAAUCAUAACUGUACAUUGAUGUUAUUCGAUUACAGUUGCAGAAUUACAGUGGUUUUACAAUAUUGUCAUUACUUUAUUGAUUACACAGUUUCAGAAUCAUGGCUGUAUUCUGGUGUACACUAUAUGCAUUUUAUUAAUUUUAUGAACCGGGUCGUCAGUUUAUUUCUAAUAUCCUACACUGUGUAACGCUGGUAGAAGGUUAGCAUCCUUGCUACGACUGAUUCAGAGCUCAGUAAUUAGAUACGCAUACAUGGCGAUCGCGUUGACCUUGUUAAUAUUUUUACUCUUCACUGUGACCGGGUCAUCCACUGGCACAUUCUGCAAUAAAUGCUAUACAAACUGCUUCAGCUAGUGAAAGAUUGUGAGUUGGUUUUGAAGCUCACUGUGGGAUUCCAAAUGAACAUCAUCCAUCCCAUUUAUUUCUCGAUGUGGAUCAUUUUCUGCUCCGGAAACGAUGACUGUGAGGAAUUAUUGUCAUCAUCUUCAAGGUGGUGGUGUAAUUUACAGUGGGAUUGCUUUUUCCAGAUACCCAAAACCGAUUACAGAAAGUCAUUGUGACAAAAACGCAGAUCGAAACUUUGCAUUGAAUAAUGCCCCUGUCCCGGAAACCUAAAGAUGCGAUUGUAUAAAGUGUUAACAAUAAACCCUUUUCCCAUCAUGUUGCGACACGAACACGAUGUCACUUUUUACAAGGUUAGAAAAGGUUUUUUAAUGUAUUCAGCUUUGUAUGUUUAACAGAACUCAAUUGGUUUUAGUUUCUUUAGCUGAAGAAAUGGAAUCAUCAAUUCAUCAUUAUCUUUCAGAAUAUAACACCGUAACAUAUAUUGAGUAAUUACUUAACAGUGUUUUUCUAAAAGUAAACUUGAUACUGCUUGCUAAAUCGGUUUAAUAGCCACUUCAGUAUUGAGCUUUUUGAAUUUUCAAAGCUGUAAACCAAAUGGACAGUAUCUCCUUCUUCAGACAAGUUCAGACAACAAAGCAUCGUAGUAAUCCUUACGUAGUUUUCACUGUAAGCUGGUUUUUGUUUAGGAAAACCACAUGAACAAAACUAAAAAAAAUGUUUGUUUGUUGGAUCCAGCCACCUGUCCUCUCGCUCGCCAUAUAUACGAUAUAUCGAUGUUUGAAACCAUGCCACUACAUCUGACUUCUGCAUAGUCACAUGGUUGCAUUUGAUAGUGGUUCCACCACAAAAAAAACGUAAUAGACUUUCCAUUGGUAUUAUUUUCCUCCUGAGUUACACAGGAAAUACAAAAUAAAAUGCAAGAAAGAUAACAACAAACCAAUAUUUUGACUAUUUCACAACCCACCAUGUCACAGGCCUGUAAUAUCCAAGUCUCCCAACUCCUAAACAGAGACAAAUACGUUUUAGGUCCACCAGCAAACACUUUUCCCACUCCGUACAGACUUUUCAUUAUGUUGAGCUGAUAAUAGUGGCGGACAAAUUGAAUCGAAAUCCGCUGCGCUGUAUCUGAGGGCUCGCCAUGCGCCUCAGUAUGUUUGCAACGGCUCUCAUUCUCUGCUAAAGGCAUUUUCUUUGUGAGAGAGAGAUGAGGUGAUUUAUCUCCAUCACUCUGUCCUGAUACCCGGGAGGACCCACAGGUGUCCGGAAUCCAGCUGUACCUGCCCUGUGUCCCUGGCUGUCAGUCAUGAUGUGGGAGAGAGAGAGAGAGAGAGAGUGUCCAUUUGCCUGCCCCGCAAAGUAUUCACAUACAGGUGACAUUUCAAAAAAGGAGUUUGUUUGGUUAUUUCUGGUAACACUGUUUUCCUCAUUCAUCUUCAUGUUCUCAUCUAUUUAUCUGUCGUCAUUUUACCAGGGGUCAAUGAGACCAUUGGAGUAUUAAGGUUUUCAAGGUUUUUAUUUCACUUGUAUGAAAUGUUAUGAUGUGAAGGACUUUGAGUCUGCCUUGUGUAUGAAAAGCGCUAUACAAAUAAAAUUACCUUGCCUUCAGUGAGGUUUUGUUUGCCCAUAAGUCCCUGAGUGAUACCUGCUGACAGAUACACAGAUUAGGACUGUAAAGUCUCUCUCUCUCUCUCUCUCUCUCUCUCUCUCUGAGAGGGUGCGUGCAGGUGGUGAGCUGAGAGCGUUAGCGUGUUUCAUGUCGGUUUUUCGCAAAUAAUUGACAGCUAAAGUCAACGUUGUGUACGCGUUGUGGGAAUGUGCACUUUGAAUGUAUCUGCAGCGUUUCGGAGUUUGCAGGACGGCGUGCUGCACGCCGCCAUGGAUUUCGGCAGGCUGACGCGGAAGCACGGCGUGAGGAUCGCGCUGAGCCCCUCGUACUCGGUGGAGGACUGCAGUCUGGCCGUGGGGAAGCUGGUGGGCCACCGCAGCGUGAAGUCCGCAGCGCGCAUGAACAACGCGGUGGUCAUCUUCCUCGACAGUGUGGAAAAAGCGGACGCGGUGGUGGUCAGCGGGAUCGCGGUGCACGGCGCGCUCGUGCCCGUUCUGCCUCUCUCCACGCCGGCGGUGAGAGUGACGGUGUCGAACGUCCCCCCGUUCAUCGGGGACGAGGCUCUGGUCAAGGAGCUGUCAAAGCACGGGAAGGUGGUGUCUCCCGUAAAGAAGGUCUCUUCGGGGUGCAAGUCCCCGCUGCUGAGACACGUGGUUUCACACAAAAGGCAACUCCUCAUGGUCCUCAACAACAGGACCAAGGAGCUCAACCUGAUGUUUGGAGUCGAAGUGGAGGACUUUGUGUAUGUGGUGUUUGCCACUUCUGACAAUAUGAACUGUUUCAGGUGUGGCAGGAAAGGACAUCUCGCCAGGACAUGUCCGGGAAAGGACUCUACAGAGGGUGCAGGAGAACGAGGUGUGGAGGAUCGGGACAGUCAGGGAAGACAGGAGAAGACAGGUGGGGUACAACAGGAGGGAAAGGAGGCACAGGAAGAGACAGGUGGGGUCAAGCAGGCGGCUGAGAACGGACAGCAGGGGACUGGUGGGGUCCAGCAGGGUGGGGAGGCGAGUGAUGGGGGGCAGGAAGGGACAAGUGGAGGACAACAGGUAGGGCGAAUGUGUGGGGAGGGGACAAGUGAAGUUCAGCGGGAGAGUGAGGUGUGUGAGAGGGGAGAAGAUGGAGGGUGUGGUGGAGUCCAGCCGGCCUGCCAGGGGGGCGACAGAGUGACUGAGGGGCUGAUUGAGGCCCAACAGGUGGGCCAGGUGAGUGUGGGGGUGAAUGAAGAGACAGGUGGUGUCAGACGGCUCAGCCAAGAGAGAAGGGAAGGUGUGAGUGGGGUUCAACAGGUGGUUCUGGGGGGUGAAGAAGGGCAGGAGAAGCUGGAAAAAAGUCAAGAGACACGUGCUGAGGAAAUGCGGUCUGAAAGCAGCGCCGAUGACAUGG